UGCAGUUGGGUGUACUAUGUUUAGCACAGGGCGUUGCAUCUUUAUAUAGUGAGAAGUGGCACAGAGUUAGUGGAGAAUAGCGUUGUUCUCUCCGAGUUUAGUAUUUUGUAUGUUCAUGAGUAGUUGAGUACUAGGUGGGGGAAGAGUGCUACUAUGAAAAAUGACAUAUCUUACUUAAUGAUGACUACUAGACACGGGAUGUGUGUGUUAAUUGGGUAUAUGACGAGUGUUUGAAGUUCUUGAGAAGAAUUAGUAACUGUCGUUUGCACUUGUAAAUAAGUGGCAGUAGGAGUACAGUGUUUUGUUAUUAUUGCAAUGCUUGAAACAUUUGUUUUACAUAUAACAUGCCUUGGUGAUACGUGUCUUGCUUUGACAGGAUGAUCGAUGCUAGUGAAUAUUAUCGAUUUCACCAAUAGCGGAUUAAGACAGUGAGGUUUUCAUGCAGCGAAGCGUUGGAGAAAUUUGAGAGAGCAGAGCUAAGAGUUUUCGAAGCUUGUUGGGAAGUUGUAUUUCAUAGUUUGGUGCUUUUCUUGAACCGGGUCCAUUUACUAUUUUUUAUGCGGUGAAGAAGCAAAGCAGUGCAUUAUCAUUAGCAUAUGCUGAAGGCAGACUUGCAGUGGAGAAUAGUUGCUGCACAUUGAAGUACCAAGAGGAAAUGUUGAUGAGGUAAGGAAUAGUGUUUGGAUACAAAAGUUUAGUCCCAAGGUUAUUUAAGGAAUGAGAGGGAGAUUGAAAUUUAGUUGUGCAUGUUGUAUUUGAAGUUAUGCAAAGUUUGUGGAGGGUAAAUUUGAAUGUCACAGUGUCAGAGUGACAGGAUGAAGUUUGCUUGUGUAUUGAUAUCCUCUUCCAGAAAAAGACGUACAAUGCUUUGUUUGAGAACACAGAUUAUUGGACAAAGAUUUGAAAGAAAUUAUGUCAUGAAUGCUUGAGUUUUGAACAAAGGAGAUUUUAUGUGGCAAGUAGUAGUGGAAUGGCAAUUGGAAUAACUUUCUGGUAAUACCAAGUUCUUGAGUGGCAUGACACUUUCUAGGAGCUGGCAUUUGGAAUUUGUUUGUGACUUGAUGUGGGAAGAAAUGCAGCCCGCAGAAGUCUCUCUCUUGUUGUGGGAAUUAAAUGACAGUAACUUCGAGAGACGAUUGUUUCACUCAGUGAGACGCAGUGUAGAGAAUGAAGAGAACUGGUUGUGCAGAACAACAUGUGCUGAGCUGCCUACCGAUCCAGCAUAGGACCGAAGCAGUUUGGAUGGAUACUUGGUCUCACUUGUCCAUUGGGUGCAGAACUUAAAGUUACUGCCUAAAUUUUUUCAACAUAUGGUACACUUUUAUUGUUGAAUUGUUGUCCAUAGAAGCGGAAAUGGUGUCAGUUCAGGAGAAGGCACAAACUGUGCUUUAGUAUGCAGAGUUUAAAUCCAUUGUCCAUUGUUAUGGUGCAAAGGCAGUUUCAUGGUGUUUACAGGAAAGCAGCAACAGAUGCCAAGCACAUAAAAACAUGGCACAGUCAGUUUCUGGAAACUGGCAGUGUUGCAAAGCGACACAGAGGUGGUCGGCGGGUCUCUGAAGAAUAAGUCGAGAAUAUCUGCCAAACAUUCCAAUGAAGUCCACAAAAAUCUGUUUGUCAAGCUUCAUGAGAACAUCAGAUGCCUUGUGCAACUGUUCAUAAAGUGCUCAGAAAGCAGCUGCAUCUGUAUUCAUACAAGGUGCAGAUAUUGCAGGUCAUAAAGCCUGAUGUCAAGCAGCGACAACAUGAAUUUGCAUGUGAAAUGCUUAACCGAAUUGACCAAAAUCCUGUGUGCCUGUCAAUUGUAAUGUUUUCUGAAGAGGCCACAUUCUGUGUCUCUGGAACUGUGAACAAGUGUAACGCUCAAUUUUGGAGGUCUCUGAAUCCACACAGUGUCAGGGAAAAGGUACGAGAUAACCCGAAAGUGAAUGUUUGGUGUGGCCACAUGUGUGACAAGAUAAUUGGACCAUUCUUCUUUGCUGAAAUAACUGUGACAGGAAUGGCGUAUCUAGACACCUAGACAUGCUGGAGAACUUUGUCUUCCCCCAGGUUGAAGACCUUAGAUUUCAGCAAGUUGGUGCUCCACCUCACUGGUCGCUUAAUGUUUGGGAAGCUCUAAAUGCGACAUCUCCAGGACGCUGGGUUGGACGAGGUGCACCCAUGAAUUGGCUUCCAUGUUCUGACAUCACACCGUUGCAUUUUUUCUAUUCCAGGAGAGAGUGAUCACCACUGCUGUGCAGGAUGUUCAAGAUCUCCAUUCUUAGAUUGUGGAAGUCAUUGACACCUUUCCUCCAAGACCUUUCCUGAGAAUCUGGAUGGAUAUUGAAAACAGACUAGACAUUCUUCGUGUCAGUGCAGGGGCUCACAUGGGAGUGUUUUGAUUUGUUGUUGCAAUUUUUUUUUCUUUUUUUCCCAAAACUUAUUUUCACGUACAACUUAUUUUUGUGAAAAAUGAAGUUAUUUCAUUUAGUUUUGUAUAUGGAACACAUUUACAGUAGGGAAUUACUGUAUGGCAUUUUAUGUGCAUAUUUACAUAGAUAACUCCAUAAGGAAUCGGCACUGUGUCUUCCUUCUGCAGUGUCUAAGUUUUGUUGUUUCUGUUUCAAUUGACUGUUUCUGUUGCAUAUGCACAAAUGUUUAUUAUUAUUUGUUAAUGCUCAUGAAAUUGAAUAUAUGUCUCAAGUCAG
RNA transcript from Schistocerca gregaria, 2684 nucleotides. RefSeq lists it as uncharacterized. The record is from RefSeq and is a predicted model, not a curated record. NCBI's taxonomy places the organism in Eukaryota, Metazoa, Arthropoda, Insecta, Orthoptera, Acrididae. The transcript is spliced from 2 exons.